GCCGCCUUGCGCCGAAGAUGUACCGGGGCUCAAGCUGUACACCGAAGCUGCGGGUUCGAAAGAGCGGUAGCGGAGCGUUCCGUAGGUCUGUGAAGGGAUACCUGUGAGGGGUCCUGGAGAUAUCGGAAGUGCGAAUGCUGACAUGAGUAGCGAUAAAGAGUGUGAGAAACACUCUCGCCGUAAGCCCAAGGGUUCCUGCGCAAGGCUAAUCCGCGCAGGGUGAGUCGGCCCCUAAGGCGAGGCUGAGAAGCGUAGUCGAUGGGAAACA
Molecule: ribosomal RNA, 268 nt
Filed under: Cyclophora tenuis
Lineage: Eukaryota; Bacillariophyta; Fragilariophyceae; Cyclophorales; Cyclophoraceae
Description: partial Bacterial large subunit ribosomal RNA
Rfam family: Bacterial large subunit ribosomal RNA
Source: RNAcentral